Molecule: long non-coding RNA, 786 nt
Filed under: Rattus norvegicus (Norway rat)
Lineage: Eukaryota; Metazoa; Chordata; Mammalia; Rodentia; Muridae
Description: long non-coding RNA NONRATT018145
Source: RNAcentral
CGGCCGCCUGCCGCGCUAUGAGGGAGCGUCUCCGGGGCUGGCCGAGGCCGGGGCCGCCUCGCUCUGCUCGCCGAGAAGUGUGAAGAGAGGCGCGGGCGGGAGCCCUGGCUGCGCGCGGCGGCGGCUCCAGGUGAGCGCGGAUCUCAGAGCAGCCGGCCACUGACCCGUCUGGAUCUAGGCAGCAUCCCAAGCGGGGACCGCGGAGCUCUCUCCGAGGGAUCAACAGCCACCAUAGCAGGUAUAUUUUGUAGGAGUAUUUUGAAGAUGGAUAUUUUCAAAUCAUUUUGAAAUAGUCAAACACCAUAUACAUGGGAUGCAUCUUGCUUUUGUCCUGGAGAUCACCUCUGUGGCUUGGAUUUAUCUCAGGACCAUUCGUCUUCAGUCUGCGUGUUAAUUAGAAAUCAAGCAUGAGGAGACUCGUCUACUGCAAGGUGGUUCUGGCCACUUCGCUGAUGUGGGUGCUUGUCGAUGUCUUCUUACUGCUGUACUUCAGCGAGUGUAACAAGUGUGAUGACAAGAUGGAGGCCACCAGAGCCUUAGUUCCAGGUUAAAGGUAUACAUAAUGUUAGACAUAGUAUAAGGUCACUAUUUCUUUAAGAAUUAGUUUCAAGGAAUAGAAAGCAACAAAUUCUAAACAAAUAUGACAAUGCAUGCUAAAUGGUGAUUUAUGAAGGAAGGUAUGAGGUUCAGUGCCUGCAUUUUUUGCAUAUUCUGUUCUGUGACAUCAAGAUCCAAAAUAUAUUUAUUUCUAAAAUAUUCACAAUAAAUCUGACUUCUAAAUUUUAA